Molecule: ribosomal RNA, 253 nt
Filed under: uncultured bacterium
Lineage: Bacteria
Description: partial 16S ribosomal RNA
Rfam family: Bacterial small subunit ribosomal RNA
Source: RNAcentral
UACGAAGGGGGCUAGCGUUGCUCGGAAUUACUGGGCGUAAAGCGCACGUAGGCGGCUUCUUAAGUCGGUGGUGAAAUCCUGGAGCUCAACUCCAGAACUGCCUUCGAUACUGGGAAGCUCGAGUCCGGGAGAGGUGAGUGGAACUGCGAGUGUAGAGGUGAAAUUCGUAGAUAUGGGGAGGAACACCGGUGGCGAAGGCAGCCACCUGGACGGACACUGACGCUGAGACGCGAAAGCGUGGGUAGCAAACAGG